Molecule: long non-coding RNA, 542 nt
Organism: Haliotis rufescens (red abalone)
Lineage: Eukaryota; Metazoa; Mollusca; Gastropoda; Lepetellida; Haliotidae
Exons: 2
Source: RefSeq, a predicted model, not a curated record
UACAGUCAGAAGAACGCUUCCGGAACUUUCCGAGGCAUGUCGAUACCACAACAGUACAUAACAACACCUAUUUAGGCCACGACGUAGCGUCAGUUUUACCAUGCGCUUUUCUAAAGUGUCUAAAAUAUACGUCGGAUGGGCCACGAUCAUAGCAGUUGGCAUUGCAGGCUUUGCUAUGGCUCGACAGUCCGUAGUAGGCAAUCGUGCAGAAAUUAUGAGAAGGAAACAGAGCAUUCGAGACUUUGUCAUUGCUGAACGUGAAGCCGAGGACAACUAAUGUGGAAAACAUAGUGAAGACUGUUGUGACCUGACAUCAUGCCUGUGUAUCUUCUCUGAAGAGAAGGCACUUGGUAACAAAUUGAGACUUCAUUGCAACAUUUAAAACGGAGGCAUUCAAGAUGACUGAAAGUGUUCACAUCUGUGGUAGUCAUGGAGACUUAAUUGUUAGUGUUUCUACAUCCAUGUUUAUAGGCCAGAUUGUUGUGUGUCAUGUUUGUGAGUAAGUGUGACUAUUGUCAUGGAAUAAAUCUUUUCAUUGAUCA